UUAAGCGACUAAGCGUACACGGUGGAUGCCCUGGCAGUCAGAGGCGAUGAAGGACGUGCUAAUCUGCGAAAAGCGUCGGUAAGGUGAUAUGAACCGUUAUAACCGGCGAUGUCCGAAUGGGGAAACCCAGUGUGAUUCGUUGCACUAUCGUUAACUGAAUACAUAGGUUAACGAGGCGAACCGGGGGAACUGAAACAUCUAAGUACCCCGAGGAAAAGAAAUCAACCGAGAUUCCCCCAGUAGCGGCGAGCGAACGGGGAGCAGCCCAGAGUCUGAAUCAGCUUGUGUGUUAGUGGAACGGUCUGGAAAGUCCGACGGUACAGGGUGAUAGUCCCGUACACCAAAAUGCACAGGCUGUGAACUCGAAGAGUAGGGCGGGACACGUGGUAUCCUGUCUGAAUAUGGGGGGACCAUCCUCCAAGGCUAAAUACUCCUGACUGACCGAUAGUGAACCAGUACCGUGAGGGAAAGGCGAAAAGAACCCCGGCGAGGGGAGUGAAAAAGAACCUGAAACCGUGUACGUACAAGCAGUGGGAGCACCUUCGGGUGUGACUGCGUACCUUUUGUAUAAUGGGUCAGCGACUUAUAUUCUGUAGCAAGGUUAACCGUAUAGGGGAGCCGCAGGGAAACCGAGUCUUAACUGGGCGUUAAGUUGCAGGGUAUAGACCCGAAACCCGGUGAUCUAGCCAUGGGCAGGUUGAAGGUUGGGUAACACUAACUGGAGGACCGAACCGACUAAUGUUGAAAAAUUAGCGGAUGACUUGUGGCUGGGGGUGAAAGGCCAAUCAAACCGGGAGAUAGCUGGUUCUCCCCGAAAGCUAUUUAGGUAGCGCCUCGUGAAUUCAUCUUCGGGGGUAGAGCACUGUUUCGGCUAGGGGGUCAUCCCGACUUACCAACCCGAUGCAAACUACGAAUACCGAAGAAUGUUAUCACGGGAGACACACGGCGGGUGCUAACGUCCGUCGUGAAGAGGGAAACAACCCAGACCGCCAGCUAAGGUCCCAAAGUCAUGGUUAAGUGGGAAACGAUGUGGGAAGGCACAGACAGCCAGGAUGUUGGCUUAGAAGCAGCCAUCAUUUAAAGAAAGCGUAAUAGCUCACUGGUCGAGUCGGCCUGCGCGGAAGAUGUAACGGGGCUAAACCAUGCACCGAAGCUGCGGCAGCGACACUAUGUGUUGUUGGGUAGGGGAGCGUUCUGUAAGCCUGCGAAGGUGACCUGUGAGGGUUGCUGGAGGUAUCAGAAGUGCGAAUGCUGACAUAAGUAACGAUAAAGCGGGUGAAAAGCCCGCUCGCCGGAAGACCAAGGGUUCCUGUCCAACGUUAAUCGGGGCAGGGUGAGUCGACCCCUAAGGCGNCGAUUGACGUUACCCGCAGAAGAAGCACCGGCUAACUCCGUGCCAGCAGCCGCGGUAAUACGGAGGGUGCAAGCGUUAAUCGGAAUUACUGGGCGUAAAGCGCACGCAGGCGGUCUGUCAAGUCGGAUGUGAAAUCCCCGGGCUCAACCUGGGAACUGCAUUCGAAACUGGCAGGCUAGAGUCUUGUAGAGGGGGGUAGAAUUCCAGGUGUAGCGGUGAAAUGCGUAGAGAUCUGGAGGAAUACCGGUGGCGAAGGCGGCCCCCUGGACAAAGACUGACGCUCAGGUGCGAAAGCGUGGGGAGCAAACAGGAUUAGAUACCCUGGUAGUCCACGCCGUAAACGAUGUCGAUUUGGAGGUUGUGCCCUUGAGGCGUGGCUUCCGGAGCUAACGCGUUAAAUCGACCGCCUGGGGAGUACGGCCGCAAGGUUAAAACUCAAAUGAAUUGACGGGGGCCCGCACAAGCGGUGGAGCAUGUGGUUUAAUUCGAUGCAACGCGAAGAACCUUACCUGGUCUUGACAUCCACAGAACUUUCCAGAGAUGGAUUGGUGCCUUCGGGAACUGUGAGACAGGUGCUGCAUGGCUGUCGUCAGCUCGUGUUGUGAAAUGUUGGGUUAAGUCCCGCAACGAGCGCAACCCUUAUCCUUUGUUGCCAGCGGUCCGGCCGGGAACUCAAAGGAGACUGCCAGUGAUAAACUGGAGGAAGGUGGGGAUGACGUCAAGUCAUCAUGGCCCUUACGACCAGGGCUACACACGUGCUACAAUGGCAUAUACAAAGAGAAGCGACCUCGCGAGAGCAAGCGGACCUCAUAAAGUAUGUCGUAGUCCGGAUUGGAGUCUGCAACUCGACUCCAUGAAGUCGGAAUCGCUAGUAAUCGUAGAUCAGAAUGCUACGGUGAAUACGUUCCCGGGCCUUGUACACACCGCCCGUCACACCAUGGGAGUGGGUUGCAAAAGAAGUAGGUAGCUUAACCUUCGGGAGGGCGCUUACCACUUUGUGAUUCAUGACUGGGGUGAAGUCGUAACAAGGUAACCGUAGGGGAACCUGCGGUUGGAUCACCUCCUUACCUUAAAGAACCUGCCUUUGUAGUGCUCACACAGAUUGUCUGAUGAACGUAAAGAAGCAAGGCGUCUUGCGAUUGAGACUUCAGUGUCCCCUUCGUCUAGAGGCCCAGGACACCGCCCUUUCACGGCGGUAACAGGGGUUCGAAUCCCCUAGGGGACGCCACUUGCUGGUUCGUGAGUGAAAGACGCGUGCCGAACUAUCUCAAAACUCAUCUUCGGGUGAUGUUUGAGA
Molecule: ribosomal RNA, 2651 nt
Filed under: Klebsiella pneumoniae UCI 56
Lineage: Bacteria; Pseudomonadati; Pseudomonadota; Gammaproteobacteria; Enterobacterales; Enterobacteriaceae
Description: bacterial LSU rRNA
Rfam family: Bacterial large subunit ribosomal RNA (bases 1-1505)
Source: RNAcentral